CUACGGGGUGCUCCAGUGAGGAAUAUUGCACAAUGGGGGGAACCCUGAUGCAGCAACGCCGCGUGGAGGAUGACGCAUUUCGGUGUGUAAACUCCUUUUAUAUGUCAAGAAAAUGACGGUAGCAUAUGAAUAAGCACCGGCUAACUCCGUGCCAGCAGCCGCGGUAAUACGGAGGGUGCAAGCGUUACUCGGAAUCACUGGGCGUAAAGGAAGCGUAGGCGGGUUGGAAAGUCAGGUGUGAAAUCCUACAGCUUAACUGUAGAACUGCACUUGAAACUUCUAAUCUAGAGUAUGGGAGGGGGAGAUGGAAUUAGUGGUGUAGGGGUAAAAUCCGUAGAUAUCACUAGGAAUACCUAAAGCGAAGGCGAUCUCCUGGAACAUUACUGACGCUAAGGCGUGAAAGCGUGGGGUGCAAACAGGAUUAGAUACCCGGGUAGUC
This 439-nucleotide ribosomal RNA is filed under the name uncultured bacterium. RNAcentral describes it as "partial 16S ribosomal RNA". It matches the Rfam family "Bacterial small subunit ribosomal RNA", at positions 339 to 795 of the family's 1533-position model. The record is from RNAcentral.